This 497-nucleotide ribosomal RNA is filed under the name uncultured bacterium. RNAcentral describes it as "partial 16S ribosomal RNA". It matches the Rfam family "Bacterial small subunit ribosomal RNA", at positions 28 to 507 of the family's 1533-position model. The record is from RNAcentral.
GAUGAACGCUGGCGGCGUGCCUAAUACAUGCAAGUCGAGCGAACGGACGAGAAGCUUGCUCCUCUGAUGUUAGCGGCGGACGGGUGAGUAACACGUGGAUAACCUACCUAUAAGACUGGGAUAACUUCGGGAAACCGGAGCUAAUACCGGAUAAUAUUUUGAACCGCAUGGUUCAAAAGUAAAAGACGGUCUUGCUGUCACUCAUAGAUGGAUCCGCGCUGCAUUAGCUAGUUGGUAAGGUAACGGCUUACCAAGGCAACGAUGCAUAGCCGACCUGAGAGGGUGAUCGGCCACACUGGAACUGAGACACGGUCCAGACUCCUACGGGAGGCAGCAGUAGGGAAUCUUCCGCAAUGGGCGAAAGCCUGACGGAGCAACGCCGCGUGAGUGAUGAAGGUCUUCGGAUCGUAAAACUCUGUUAUUAGGGAAGAACAUAUGUGUAAGUAACUGUGCACAUCUUGACGGUACCUAAUCAGAAAGCCACGGCUAACUACGUG